Molecule: non-coding RNA, 590 nt
Organism: Lupinus albus (white lupine)
Lineage: Eukaryota; Viridiplantae; Streptophyta; Magnoliopsida; Fabales; Fabaceae
Source: the annotation of a GenBank genome assembly
GGAGGUUUCGUUGGGUGGGAAGAGGGGUUCAAAUGAUAUAGCUAUUGGAAAUUAGAGCAGUUUCAACUUUCGAGUGUGGAUUCAUCAUAUUCUACGGAAGGGUAUUUCUGUCAAUUACAUUGGUGAAAAUUAUCAUGCUAGUUGGCAGUUUCAGCUUCGUAGAGUGACCACUUCCAUUGAAAAAUUAUCAAGCCUUUGAUGAAUUCAACGACGCCCUUUGGGAUGGAGCAUCAACAUGGGGAAAACAUAAUGCAGUUUGACUUGAAAAGUGACACAACUUGCUUAUGAAUCUCAGAAUUCCACACCACCCCAUAAGCAAGCUUCAAAUUUUGAUAUUGACGAGGGGUCAGCACGAUUUAUUUGCUUUGAUCUAAAUGGGCUAGUUUGUGCGGGCUGUCUGGUUAAAGCCCAAAUAUAUAUAACUUUUUAAACAAAUUUGUUAUGUCUAAUUCAACUAAACUGAUAUAUGUAAUGCUUCUUAUUCUUAUUUGAAUUAAGAGGGAAAGUGAAGUACAUUUGGUAUGCUUAUUGUUCCAUCAUCUCUUGUUGACCAUGAUGUAACCUUGUGCAACUUGAAGUCAAGAAUCUGA